This 414-nucleotide ribosomal RNA is filed under the name uncultured microorganism. RNAcentral describes it as "bacterial SSU rRNA". It matches the Rfam family "Archaeal small subunit ribosomal RNA", at positions 330 to 745 of the family's 1478-position model. The record is from RNAcentral.
GCGCAGCAGGCGAGAAACCUCCGCAAUACACGAAAGUGUGACGGGGCCAUCCCGAGUGCCGUCCGCUGAGGACGGCUUUUCCCCAGUGUACACAGCUGGGGGAAUAAGGAGAGGGCAAGCCUGGUGUCAGCCGCCGCGGUAAUACCAGCUCUCCGAGUGGUGGGGACGCUUAUUGGGCCUAAAGCAUCCGUAGCCGGCUGGGCAAGUCCUCCGUUAAAUCCAACGAUUCAAUCGUUGGGCUGCGGGGGAUACUGUCCAGCUUGGGGGCGGGAGAGGCCGACGGUAUUCCCGGGGUAGGGGUGAAAUCCUAUAAUCCCGGGAGGACCACCAGUGGCGAAGGCUGUCGGCUAGAACGCGCCCGACGGUGAGGGGAUGAAAGCUGGGGGAGCGAACCGGAUUAGAUACCCGUGUAGU